This is a long non-coding RNA of Chinchilla lanigera (long-tailed chinchilla), 2019 nucleotides long. RefSeq lists it as uncharacterized. The transcript has 3 exons. The record is from RefSeq and is a predicted model, not a curated record. Lineage: Eukaryota; Metazoa; Chordata; Mammalia; Rodentia; Chinchillidae.
CGCUGGGUGCUCAGGGCUGGGGAGGCAGCCUGCCUCGGGAGGGCUGCCUGGCUAGCGGGUCCUGCUCCUCUCCUCCUCCAGGCAUGCCUCGGGGUCACUUCGGAUCGCUCGGCACCCACAGGGCUCCUGCACCCUUCUGGAGGUUCCCUCAGGGUCCUAGGAAAUCCCCCGAAGCCAGGGGCUCUGCCGCUGCAGGAAGGCACCCCCUUCCUUUGUCAUUCUGUCUCCUCUCUUUCCCGCUGCCCUCCCCUGGCUUCCUGUCCUGGUGCCUCGCUUCCCCCUCCUCUUCUGUCUGAGCCCCUGGGUCACGUAUUUCCCGCUGAAGGGCCUGCACACACAGAGGCGGGAGAGAGGACGUCAGGGCGUGCCCCAGUGUACCACCAGAAGCAGUGGGUUUGUAGGGAGCACUGGGUGUGUAUGUUGGGGGGUGGGUCCCGGGUACUGGUGGAACUUUAUUUCGGAAAGGGACCCCGUCCAGGCAGCAGUGCACUCUGGGUCACUUCCCCAGAUGCUGAUCAGAUGUGGAGGAGCAGACAGUCACACUGACAGACGUCAGGGAGCCAGGCCUGCCAGAGAGGGGAAGGGACUCCCCCCAGGACACACACGUGGCUGCUGAUCCACAGAAUUCCAGCCCGGUAAAGUAACUUGGAACACACCUAGGGCUUACGGUAAAGCACUUCGACCUGGCAAAAUAAAGAAAAUGGCAUGGGGAGUAAUUAAGUGGGACGGCGAAGCCUUUAAUCUUGGAAGCUCUGCCCCACGAGGCCCCCAAGGGGAAGGAAACGCCCUCUGCACUGGCAUCUGCGCACACAGCGGAGGAGGCGGGUGUUCUCUCCGCUAGGAGGGGAGCGCGGGGCCUGGAGCGUGAGGCGUCUCCAGUCCAGAGUGCCGCCUUCGCCCACCACCCACCGCCUGCAGCUGUCCCUGCUGCUUCUCUUGCAGGUGAACACCCGAGGCCGGGCAGCGGCUUCCUAGAAAGCGUGUGCUCCUGCCCCAGCGGCAGCGUUUAUCUCGAGUUUAUCUCGAGCGCAUCUAGGUGACAAGCUCCGCCUCCUCCUCCUCCUCCGAGGGUGGUAUUUCCCUUGUGGCUACUGACUCAGGAAGCAGGUGGCGGUAGCUGACCUGCCUGGUCUCCCCAGAGCCUCCUGGGUUUGCCACCAACCGUGGCGGCUGCCGAUCUCGCUGAUUGCUCCGCGGGCGCUCCCAGAUCUGAGGCUGCGGCGUGGGCGGGACGCCUCUGCCCUGGGAACUGAUGGUCUGAGAGGACCCUGGGCUGCUGCUGCUCCCUGAGGAGAGAGGGGAUGAGCUGACGGGGGAGGCAGCUCUCUGUCCCCCGAGCUCCACAGGCUGGCCACGUAGUCUUUCUGUUCAUUUUUUGAGACAGGGUCUCACAAUCGGCUGGGUGAUCCUCCCGCCUCAGCCUCCGGAGUGCUGGGAUAGCAGGCGUGACCACCCCUCCCAGCAGCUGUGCCCCUUCUAAGCGCAGUCAGAAGGCAGGGCAGGGGGUCCACGGCAGCAGUAAGAUCUGACUGCUGUGAGCAGAAGCGGGACUCAGAAUGGCGCUGGAUGCCUGGCUGGAGACCAGGAGCGCGAGACCCACUGGUCCCGGGUCCUGGGACGACCUAGCUGUGUCGGUGUGCUCUGAGCUCUGUCCAAGGCCAGUGCUGGGCCAGGCGUGGAACGGUGGUGCACAGCAGACCAGGUGGCUGUCCUGGAGUUUCCACCCAAACGCCGUACCCUGCCACAGGGGUGCUGUAGCCUCCACUGAGAUAAAAGUCACCAGAGGGGACCGCCCGGGGCUUCUGUCCCCUCGUCACCCCUAUGCCCCACAUCGUGUCUGGCCUCUGCUUCGUCCCACCCCUGUGGAUGAGUCCCGACCCGAGUCCCGACCCGUGCAGCAUCCCACUGCUCCCUGUGGCCAGUGUCCUCAUUAUGCUAGGUCCAGGGGACUGUCCCAGGCUGUCGCUCCCCACCUCUCCCCUCCUCCUCUUCUCCCCUCCUCCCCUCCCCCUUCCUUCC